Molecule: ribosomal RNA, 296 nt
Filed under: uncultured bacterium
Lineage: Bacteria
Description: partial 16S ribosomal RNA
Rfam family: Bacterial small subunit ribosomal RNA
Source: RNAcentral
GGAUUAGAUACCCUGGUAGUCCACGCCGUAAACGAUGGAAGCUACCCGUCAGGUAGCAUGCUAUUUGGUGGCGCAGCUAACGCAUUAAGCUUCCCGCCUGGGGAGUACGGUCGCAAGAUUAAAACUCAAAGGAAUUGACGGGGGCCUGCACAAGCGGUGGAGCAUGUGGUUUAAUUCGAAGCAACGCGCAGAACCUUACCAGCCCUUGACAUGGGGAGUUUGGUCUUUGGAGACGAAGGCCUUCAGUUCGGCUGGCUCCCGCACAGGUGCUGCAUGGCUGUCGUCAGCUCGUGCUG